This 400-nucleotide long non-coding RNA is filed under the name Hordeum vulgare. RNAcentral's name for it is "long non-coding RNA (HVUL_LNC012379)". Lineage: Eukaryota; Viridiplantae; Streptophyta; Magnoliopsida; Poales; Poaceae. The record is from RNAcentral.
UCUUUCAAUACUUGGGAGUUGAGAAAUUAUAGUGGAAGUGAUGUUUGACAUGCUCAACCCCAUGAUGUUAAUUUUAAUAGACUUGAUAUCACUUAUGGAUAAAAUUGUCUAGACGAACUUAGUUGAAAGUUGGGUGAGAUUAUGCAAAAAACUCUGUGUUGUAUAUCUCAACAUGGUGUUACAGCCUCCGGUUGGUGCCAUGGUCUUUGCUACUAUAUAUGCAUUUACACAUGUAAAUGUGGCUUCGUCGCCCUUGUUGAUGUUAUGAUGAGGACUCCGAUGUCCAAUGAAUGAUCCACCAAGAGUGGCAGCUUGGAUUUCGGCUAUGAGUUUGUUACCGUACGUAGUGGCAACACUACAAACAAAUAUUAUUCAACUUCCUAUUGAGUGUGUGUGUGUG